GACGAACGCUGGCGGCGUGCUUAACACAUGCAAGUCGAGCGGAAAGGCCCUGCGGGGUACUCGUGCGGGGAACGGGUGAGUAACACGAGAGUAACCUGCCCCAGACUUUGGGAUAGCCCUCGGAUACGGGGGCUAAUACUGGAUACGACACAGCUUCGCAUGGGGUUGGUGUGGAAAGGUUGUCGGCUUGGGAUGGGCACGCGGCUUAUCAGCUUGUUGGUGGGGUGAUGGCCUACCAAGGCCACGACGGGUAGCCGGCCUGAGAGGGCGACCGGCCACACUGGGACUGAGAUACGGCCCAGACUCCUACGGGAGGCAGCAGUGGGGAAUAUUGCACAAUGGGCGGAAGCCUGAUGCAGCGACGCCGCGUGAGGGAUGACGGCCUUCGGGUUGUAAACCGCUUUCAGCUGGGACGAAGCGUAAGUGACGGUAACUGCAGAAGAAGCGCCGGCUAACUACGUG
This 462-nucleotide ribosomal RNA is filed under the name uncultured bacterium. RNAcentral describes it as "partial 16S ribosomal RNA". It matches the Rfam family "Bacterial small subunit ribosomal RNA", at positions 28 to 507 of the family's 1533-position model. The record is from RNAcentral.